UAAUCACUUGUCUUUUAAAUGGAGACCUGUAUGAAUGGCGAGACGAGGGCGAAACUGUCUCCCCCCUUCGGUCAAUGAAACUGAUCUCCCCGUGCAGAAGCGGGGAUACCCCCACAAGACGAGAAGACCCUAUGGAGCUUGAGACUUUGGAGAGCUUGCCUUAAGUAUAUGAUUACAAACUAUUAAACCCCGGCAUCCCUUAUCUAAAUGUCUUUGGUUGGGGCGACCGCGGAGACAAAUCUAACCCCCGCGUGGAUUGGGUACCCCCUAUAAUCAAGAGCUACAGCUCUAAAUAUCAGAAGAUCUGACCUUUAAUGAUCCGGCCUGCCGAUCAACGAACCGAGUUACCCUAGGGAUAACAGCGCAAUCCUCUUCUAGAGCCCC
Molecule: ribosomal RNA, 384 nt
Filed under: Trachipterus arcticus (dealfish)
Lineage: Eukaryota; Metazoa; Chordata; Actinopteri; Lampriformes; Trachipteridae
Description: partial 16S ribosomal RNA
Rfam family: Bacterial large subunit ribosomal RNA
Source: RNAcentral